GGAAGAAUGAGUGGAUUGUAGAAGACUGUGCAGGCCCUGGGAGUCUAGCUGGACACAAAGCGAUCAACCACCUCAAGAUUCUGCUACCAAGCCUUCUCCACCAAGGAGGACUGUAUCCUGCAUGUGUAUGGUGGAUUGAAAGAAAAUGCCCCCCCCCACCAAGGAAGUGGCACUAUUAGGAGAUGUGGCCUUGCUGGAGGAAGUAUGUCACUGUGGAGGCAGACUCAAGCCAUGUCCAGCGAGGCAGACUACUUCCUGUUGCCUGAGCAAGAUGUAGAACUCUCAGCUACCUCUCCAGAACUCUGUCUGCCUGCAUGCCGCCAUGCUCCACCAUAAUAGACGGAACCUCUGAAACU
Molecule: long non-coding RNA, 356 nt
Filed under: Cricetulus griseus (Chinese hamster)
Lineage: Eukaryota; Metazoa; Chordata; Mammalia; Rodentia; Cricetidae
Description: lncRNA (ENSCGRG00015033105.1)
Source: RNAcentral